This 450-nucleotide ribosomal RNA is filed under the name uncultured bacterium. Its description in RNAcentral is "partial 16S ribosomal RNA". It matches the Rfam family "Bacterial small subunit ribosomal RNA", at positions 354 to 796 of the family's 1533-position model. The record is from RNAcentral.
GUGGGGAAUUUUGGACAAUGGGCGCAAGCCUGAUCCAGCAAUGCCGCGUGCAGGAAGAAGGCCUUCGGGUUGUAAACUGCUUUUGUACGGAACGAAACGGUCCUGGUUAAUACCUGGGGCUAAUGACGGUACCGUAAGAAUAAGCACCGGCUAACUACGUGCCAGCAGCCGCGGUAAUACGUAGGGUGCAAGCGGUAAUCGGAAUUACUGGGCGUAAAGCGUGCGCAGGCGGUUUUGUAAGACAGGCGUGAAAUCCCCGGGCUCAACCUGGGAAUUGCGCUUGUGACUGCAAGGCUGGAGUGCGGCAGAGGUGGAUGGAAUUCCGCGUGUAGCAGUGAAAUGCGUAGAUAUGCGGAGGAACACCGAUGGCGAAGGCAAUCCCCUGGGCCUGCACUGACGCUCAUGCACGAAAGCGUGGGGAGCAAACAGGAUUAGAUACCCCGGUAGUCC